UGGGGAAUUUUGGACAAUGGGGGAAACCCUGAUCCAGCGACGCCGCGUGUGUGAAGAAGGCCUGCGGGUUGUAAAGCACUUUUAGUGGGGAUGAAAAGUCCAGGGCUAACACCUCUGGAUCUUGACCUAACCCACAGAAAAAGCACCGGCUAACUCUGUGCCGGCAGCCGCGGUAAUACGGGGGGAGCAAGCGUUGUUCGGAUUUACUGGGCGUAAAGGGCGCGUAGGCGGCCACCGCAAGUCGACUGUGAAAUCUCCGGGCUUAACCCGGAAAGGUCAGCCGAUACUGCGGGGCUAGAGUGCAGAAGGGGCAACUGGAAUUCUCGGUGUAGCGGUGAAAUGCGUAGAUAUCGAGAGGAACACCUGCGGCGAAGGCGGGUUGCUGGGCUGACACUGACGCUGAGGCGCGAAAGCUAGGGGAGCGAAC
Molecule: ribosomal RNA, 427 nt
Filed under: uncultured bacterium
Lineage: Bacteria
Description: bacterial SSU rRNA
Rfam family: Bacterial small subunit ribosomal RNA
Source: RNAcentral